Molecule: ribosomal RNA, 641 nt
Filed under: Salmonella enterica subsp. enterica serovar 4,[5],12:i:-
Lineage: Bacteria; Pseudomonadati; Pseudomonadota; Gammaproteobacteria; Enterobacterales; Enterobacteriaceae
Description: partial 23S ribosomal RNA
Rfam family: Bacterial large subunit ribosomal RNA
Source: RNAcentral
GCGACGCCCAACACACAAAACAAGCGGUGAAUGCUUUGGGGUGGGGUGACUGCGUACCUUUUGUAUAAUGGGUCAGCGACUUAUAUUCUGUAGCAAGGUUAACCGAAUAGGGGAGCCGGAGGGAAACCGAGUCUUAAUUGGGCGUUAAGUUGCAGGGUAUAGACCCGAAACCCGGUGAUCUAGCCAUGGGCAGGUUGAAGGUUGGGUAACACUAACUGGAGGACCGAACCGACUAAUGUUGAAAAAUUAGCGGAUGACCUGUGGCUGGGGGUGAAAGGCCAAUCAAACCGGGAGAUAGCUGGUUCUCCCCGAAAGCUAUUUAGGUAGCGCCUCGUGAAUUCAUCUCCGGGGGUAGAGCACUGUUUCGGCUAGGGGGCCAUCCCGGCUUACCAACCCGAUGCAAACUGCGAAUACCGGAGAAUGUUAUCACGGGAGACACACGGCGGGUGCUAACGUCCGUCGUGAAGAGGGAAACAACCCAGACCGCCAGCUAAGGUCCCAAAGUCAUGGUUAAGUGGGAAACGAUGUGGGAAGGCCCAGACAGCCAGGAUGUUGGCUUAGAAGCAGCCAUCAUUUAAAGAAAGCGUAAUAGCUCACUGGUCGAGUCGGCCUGCGCGGAAGAUGUAACGGGGCUAAACCAU